RNAcentral lists this ribosomal RNA (253 nucleotides) under uncultured bacterium. RNAcentral describes it as "partial 16S ribosomal RNA". It matches the Rfam family "Bacterial small subunit ribosomal RNA", at positions 524 to 776 of the family's 1533-position model. The record is from RNAcentral.
UACAGAGGAUGCAAGCGUUAUCCGGAAUGAUUGGGCGUAAAGCGUCUGUAGGUGGCUUUUUAAGUCCGCCGUCAAAUCCCAGGGCUCAACUCUGGACAGGCGGUGGAAACUACCAAGCUGGAGUACGGUAGGGGCAGAGGGAAUUUCCGGUGUAGCGGUGAAAUGCGUAGAUAUCGGAAGGAACACCUGUAGCGAAGGCGGCUCUCUGGACUCAAACUGACGCUGAGGCACGAAAGCGUGGGUAGCGAACAGG